This 179-nucleotide non-coding RNA is filed under the name Peptococcaceae bacterium. RNAcentral describes it as "6S RNA". It matches the Rfam family "6S / SsrS RNA". From Rfam's summary of the family: E. coli 6S RNA was the first non coding RNA to be sequenced, but its function was unknown until recently. Lineage: Bacteria; Bacillati; Bacillota; Clostridia; Eubacteriales; Peptococcaceae. The record is from RNAcentral.
AAAGACCUGACUUGUGCGUGUGGAUUAUCUUUGGUUUUGAUCCUAUGUAAGUUUAGGGAACUGAAUGGAUUGUUAAGUACAGUAGGCCCUUUCGCAGGGAAACUGGAAAGGCUAUCCUAGGCGCCCACCUGUGAGAGCAGGGUCAGAAACCAGGAGUCCGACGGCAAGUUGGGUUGGGU